CCUACGGGUGGCAGCAGUGGGGAAUAUUGGACAAUGGGCGAAAGCCUGAUCCAGCCAUGCCGCGUGUGUGAAGAAGGCCUUCGGGUUGUAAAGCACUUUCAGUGGGGAAGAAAGCCUUGGGGCUAAUACCCUCGAGGAAGGACAUCACCCACAGAAGAAGCACCGGCUAACUCCGUGCCAGCAGCCGCGGUAAUACGGAGGGUGCGAGCGUUAAUCGGAAUUACUGGGCGUAAAGCGCGCGUAGGCGGUCUGAUAAGCCGGUUGUGAAAGCCCCGGGCUCAACCUGGGAACGGCAUCCGGAACUGUCAGGCUAGAGUGCAGGAGAGGAAGGUAGAAUUCCCGGUGUAGCGGUGAAAUGCGUAGAGAUUGGGAGGAAUACCAGUGGCGAAGGCGGCCUUCUGGACUGACACUGACGCUGAGGUGCGAAAGCGUGGGUAGCAAACAGGAUUAGAUACCCGAGUAGUC
Molecule: ribosomal RNA, 465 nt
Filed under: Vreelandella stevensii
Lineage: Bacteria; Pseudomonadati; Pseudomonadota; Gammaproteobacteria; Oceanospirillales; Halomonadaceae
Description: partial 16S ribosomal RNA
Rfam family: Bacterial small subunit ribosomal RNA
Source: RNAcentral